Molecule: microRNA, 20 nt
Filed under: Homo sapiens (human)
Lineage: Eukaryota; Metazoa; Chordata; Mammalia; Primates; Hominidae
Description: hsa-miR-3940-5p
Source: miRBase by way of RNAcentral
GUGGGUUGGGGCGGGCUCUG